GCAACCAGAGACCAGGAUCAGGCCUGUCCCCACAUGCAGGGUUGCUGCUCUGUAAUUACAGCUCUGCGGUGGCCCUGCCCAGGCUUCCAGGGCCGCGGCUCAGCAGCCGGGCACUCUGGGGUCUCCCUCUCGCUAGCACAGCACACGGGCCCCUGAAACAGCCAUUUAAGCAGUGUUUUUUAACAAAUUCACAUCAGUUGCCAAGAUCUAAGGAUCAGGAGAUGUUACAUAAAAAUUUCUGGCUUCUCUGGAAAACCCCAAAAAUCUCAAGAUGGGACAGAAGCUGGACCACAGGACAGCCCAGAAACGUCUGGCCAUAUCUAGGUUAAAGAGGCUCAAUCUGCAUCCCACACGUGCCAAGGCACCAAGCUAUGUGUGGUAGACUCGGUCAUCUCAGAACCCUAUGGAGAUGGUGUAGUUCAGGGUUAGGUUGCUCGUCUCACAAGUGCAAGGCCCUGGGUUUGAUCUUUAGCAGUGAAAAGAAAAGCUAUGAAAAUACUUGCUGCUAUUACGUGCACACGUGUAUGGGAAAGGAGACUUGAGACGUAAGAAACUACUUCGAGCUUUUCUGAAGACACUGCAGGUGAGUAAUGGAAUCUCCACAUCUGGACCAGGCAGCUGGCUCCUGUCUGCCCUUCUCCAUUUCUAGCACCAGCUCAUAUCUUUAAGAAUUCAAAAAUGGGGCUGGGCAUGGUGGUGGUCACCUGUAAUCUCCGCACUCAGAGGCUGAGGCAGGAGGAUCACCAGGAGCUUGAAGCCAUAUACCUGGGCUAUAUAGUGAGACCCACCCAACCAACCAAAUGGACAAACAAACACAUGGACCAAGGAGAGGAACGCUGGAUCAAACACUCCCAUGGUACCCACAUCUCUGUGCACAGGCCCCUGGACUCCGGGCUUUGGGUAGUCUCUGCAACUUCAGGCAGCCUGGGAUUAUUCCUUUACUCUCUCCCCUCAAGAAUAACCAUACCCAGGGCCCUGGUUCACCUUUCAGAAAAACUGAGAUUCCUAAUAAAACAGCAAAAACCAUAAUUUUUAAUCUUAAAACUUACUUGCAUAUUUCUACUGACCAUUUGUGAUUUGCUACAAAAUCCAUGUGGUAUAUUGUGAGAGGCUGCAAAAUACAAGUGUGCUGUUAUGGUUUGGAUGAGUGUCUCCAAUUUUGUACCGGGUGACCCUACCGCGGAGCCAUUUAGGAGGCAGAGCCAGGGCACAGGGUUCUUUGGUUUCUGGGCUGUGCCUUUGAAGUUGAAUUGUGGAACCCUGGCUGUCCCUCUUCCUGCCAUGAUGUGGCAUCCUCACCAGUCACCCAAGGUCAUGGGGGCAUUUGGUCUUGAACUGAACCCUCCAGAACUAUGAGCCAAAAUAGCUCUUUCCUCCCUAAACCUGAAUUUCCCCAGGUGUUUCAUUAUAAUAAGGCAAUGCUAACUAAUACACAUGCACACAUUACACAUUUCACAGUGUGAAGUGAUCUCCCCCAGGUCCCCAGCUACAUGAUGGCUUGAAUCUGAGGCUGACUUUUCCUCAACUCCCCAGCAUGAGCUGUUGUGCCAUAGCCAGCCGAGCCAGGGGGUAAACACAACUUCCAAAUAUCCACUCUUUCAUCCUACGUGACCUUAGCAUGGUCAGCCCAUUAAGGGUAGCGGGAGAAUAAGAAAAAUAAAAGAACCUGGUAAUGUGGAGGGCUAUCCUGUCAAUGGCAGAACGGUGGGCAAGUCUCACUGGGCAGUGAACAGUAUGCUCAUUCCUGCUGUGUUAUUUUUACUGAAAUAUUUGGCCUACUUAU
Molecule: long non-coding RNA, 1783 nt
Organism: Cavia porcellus (domestic guinea pig)
Lineage: Eukaryota; Metazoa; Chordata; Mammalia; Rodentia; Caviidae
Exons: 3
Source: RefSeq, a predicted model, not a curated record